This 19-nucleotide small nuclear RNA is filed under the name Arabidopsis thaliana (thale cress). RNAcentral's name for it is "snRNA_15798". Lineage: Eukaryota; Viridiplantae; Streptophyta; Magnoliopsida; Brassicales; Brassicaceae. The record is from RNAcentral.
AACAAAAGGGUAAAAGCUC